UUUCCGUAGGUGAACCUGCGGAAGGAUCAUUGUCGAAGCCUGCCCAGCAGAACGACCCGCGAACUUGUAUAAACAACCGGGGGCAGGGGCGAUCUCGCCCCGUGCCCUCGAACGGCAGGGAGACACUCGUGCCUUCUUGUUGAACAACGAACCCCGGCGCGGUCUGCGCCAAGGAACUUCAAUUAAAGAGUGCCUCCGGUCGCCUCGGAAACGAUGCGCGUGUCGGAGGCGAAUCUUGUACAAAACCAUAACGACUCUCAGCAACGGAUAUCUCGGCUCUU
This 281-nucleotide unclassified non-coding RNA is filed under the name plant metagenome. Its description in RNAcentral is "partial contains small subunit ribosomal RNA, internal transcribed spacer 1, and 5.8S ribosomal RNA". The record is from RNAcentral.